UUCCGGUUGAUCCUGCCGGAGGCUACCGCUAUUGGAGUUCGAUUAAGCCAUGCGAGUCGCGAGUCUUAGGGACUCGGCGUACCGCUCAGUAACACGUGGGUAACCUGCCCUAUGCUGGGGGAUAACCUCGGGAAACUGAGAAUAAUACCCCAUAGUUCACCACGCCUGGAACGGUGGGUGGAUCAAAGCCCCGGCGGCAUAGGAUGGGCCUGCGGCGUAUCAGGUUGUAGGGGGUGUAAUGUACCCUCUAGCCCUCUACGCGUACGGGUGUUGAGAGACAUAGCCCGGAGAUGGAUUCUGAGACACGAAUCCAGACCCUACGGGGUGCAGCAGGCGCGAAAACUUGGCAAUGCGAGAAAUCGUGACCAGGGAACUCCAAGUGCAUCGGGUAAGACCGAUGCUUUUCUUGACUCUUCAAAGGUCUUGGAAUAAGGGGUGGGUAAGGACGGUGCCAGCCGCCGCGGUAAUACCGGCGCCCCAAGUGAUAGUCGCUUUUAUUGGGCCUAAAACGUCCGUAGCCGGUCUGGUACAUUCGUGGGUAAAUCAACCAGCUCAACUGGUUGAAUUCUGCGAGCACGGCCAGACUUGGGACCGGGAGAGGUGUGGGGUACUCUCAGGGUAGGGGUAAAAUCCUGUCAUCCUGAGAGGACCACCUGUUGCGAAGGCGCCACACUAGAACGGAUCCGACGGUCAGGGACGAAGCCUAGGGGCACGAACCGGAUUAGAUACCCGGGUAGUCCUAGGUGUAAACGCUGUGGACUUGAUGUUGGGAGCGCUCCGAGCGCCCUCAGUGUCGAAGCGAAGGUGAUAAGUCCACUGCCUGGGGAGUACGGUCGCAAGGCUGAAACUUAAAGGAAUUGGCGGGGGAGCACCGCAACCUGAGGAUUGUGCGGUUUAAUUGGAUUCAACGCCGGGA
This 916-nucleotide ribosomal RNA is filed under the name uncultured archaeon. Its description in RNAcentral is "bacterial SSU rRNA". It matches the Rfam family "Archaeal small subunit ribosomal RNA", at positions 1 to 923 of the family's 1478-position model. The record is from RNAcentral.